Molecule: RNase P RNA, 432 nt
Filed under: Tidjanibacter sp.
Lineage: Bacteria; Pseudomonadati; Bacteroidota; Bacteroidia; Bacteroidales; Rikenellaceae
Description: RNase P RNA component class A
Rfam family: Bacterial RNase P class A
About the family: Ribonuclease P (RNase P) is a ubiquitous endoribonuclease, found in archaea, bacteria and eukarya as well as chloroplasts and mitochondria. Its best characterised activity is the generation of mature 5'-ends of tRNAs by cleaving the 5'-leader elements of precursor-tRNAs.
Source: RNAcentral
UGGCGUGGGGAUUUCGUCGCUGCCUCCCUUUGGGAGGGAGAGGAAAGUCCGGGCAACACAGAGCACCGUGCUUCUUAACGGGAAGUUGUCGGUAACGGCAAGGUUAAAGGUAACAGAGAAUAACCGCCUGCUAUCAUCGUGAGGGAAGAUCUCUCGCUCUUUGGCAGGUAAGGGUGAAAAGGCGGGGUAAGAGCCCACCGCUCGGGUAGCAAUACUUCGGGGACAGUACCACCAACGGGUUGCAAGUUCAAGUAUAUCGGCAGUAUGUAGGGUUGCUCGCCCGAUGCCGAGGGGUAGAACGCUAACAUUAGCCUGUGGGCGACCACAGUGUAUAGAUUAAUGACGAAGGCCGCUCCGCCGAGGAAGGUUGCGUGCAACACUCCCAAGGGGGAUCCAGCGGUACAGAACCCGGCUUACACCCCACGCUAAACA